Nematostella vectensis (starlet sea anemone) is the source of this 715-nucleotide long non-coding RNA. RefSeq lists it as uncharacterized. The record is from RefSeq and is a predicted model, not a curated record. NCBI's taxonomy places the organism in Eukaryota, Metazoa, Cnidaria, Anthozoa, Actiniaria, Edwardsiidae. The transcript has 2 exons.
CCUGUGUGCGCAAAGACCAUUUGCUACCCCCCUUGCCUGGGUACCCUAUGCUUUGCAUUUUCUGACCUUGGUCAAUUACACGUUUCGCUCAUGCAGCGAAAAGCGGCUGAUUCACAAAGACGCGACUUCCAGUAACCGGAAAAUAGAGGUAGUGUUUGGCCAACAGGGCGGAGUUAAUCGUGCGAACCCUUGAAUUGCAGUUUAUAUCCUCGAGAAUUCGCUCUUGUGCCUGUGGUGUAAUCCUUUAGAAAGUAACGGCUGGAAAUGAAAUCCUUGAUGAAGUAUUGAUCCUGUAUUAUCAGUAGUUAAAAGAGCUUAAAGCUACGAUCAAAGAUGAACCCUUGCAAAACCUGAGAAUAUUUUGGGGCCAAGUUCGACGAGAUUGAAGUCUUGCAGCGCGUGAAAGGAAGGCCCGUGCUUGAGUGGAAUCUAGAAGCCAACUGUGGGUACUGAAGCUUACUAUUACGUAGUGAUUUUAUGAAUUUGAUUAAUGGCCUUAAGAGCUGGCGCGUAACUAGCGGUGGGCGUGGAUGCGUGAGUCACCACUCGGCCGCCAAAACGCUGUCUUCAGGUCUACGAAUGGAUAUUUUCGGCCCGCGUCGAAGAUCCUCGAUAUUUGUCUACAACGGCAACUGAAAAUGAAAAAAGAGAAAAAAAAACUUAAAAAAAAGACGGGCCCACUGGCCAAGGAUCGAACCUCAUCAGAUAGAUAAAA